AACGAACGCUGGCGGCAGGCCUAAUACAUGCAAGUCGAACGGAUGUAGCAAUACAUUAGUGGCGCACGGGUGCCUAACGCGUGGGAACAUACCCUUGAGUAAGGAAUAAUGUCUGGAAACGGACACUAAUUCCUUAUAAUGACUUCGGUCCAAAGAUUUAUCGCUCAAGGAUUGGCCCGCGUCUGAUUAGCUAGUUGGUGAGGUAACGGCUCACCAAGGCGACGAUCAGUAGCUGGUCUGAGAGGAUGAUCAGCCACACUGGGACUGAGACACGGCCCAGACUCCUACGGGAGGCAGCAGUAAGGAAUAUUGGACAAUGGAGGAAACUCUGAUCCAGCCCUGCCGCGUGAGUGAAGAAGGCCUUAGGGUUGUAAAGCUCUUUCAAUGGUGAAGAUAAUGACGGUAGCCAUAGAAGAAGCCCCGGCUAAAUUCGUGCCAGCCGCCGCGGUAA
Molecule: ribosomal RNA, 451 nt
Filed under: uncultured bacterium
Lineage: Bacteria
Description: partial 16S ribosomal RNA
Rfam family: Bacterial small subunit ribosomal RNA
Source: RNAcentral